UACGUAGGCAGCAAGCGUUGUUCGGAGUUACUGGGCGUAAAGAGCGCGCAGGCGGUCGUGCAAGUCGCGUGUGAAAGCCCCCGGCUCAACUGGGGAGGGUCACGCGAUACUGCUCGACUUGAAGGCAGGAGAGGGAAGCGGAAUUCCCGGUGUAGUGGUGAAAUGCGUAGAUAUCGGGAGGAACACCAGUGGCGAAGGCGGCUUCCUGGCCUGUUCUUGACGCUGAGGCGCGAAAGCUAGGGUAGCAAACGGG
RNAcentral lists this ribosomal RNA (253 nucleotides) under uncultured bacterium. RNAcentral describes it as "partial 16S ribosomal RNA". It matches the Rfam family "Bacterial small subunit ribosomal RNA", at positions 524 to 776 of the family's 1533-position model. The record is from RNAcentral.